This 509-nucleotide ribosomal RNA is filed under the name uncultured bacterium. RNAcentral's name for it is "partial 16S ribosomal RNA". It matches the Rfam family "Bacterial small subunit ribosomal RNA", at positions 28 to 507 of the family's 1533-position model. The record is from RNAcentral.
GACGAACGCUGGCGGCGUGCUUAACACAUGCAAGUCGAACGAAGAGCGAUGGAAGCUUGCUUCUAUCACUCUUAGUGGCGAACGGGUGAGUAACGCGUAAUCAACCUGCCCUUCAGAGGGGGACAACAGUUGGAAACGACUGCUAAUACCGCAUACGAUCCAAUCUCGGCAUCGGGACUGGAUGAAAGGUGGCCUCUAUUAUAAGCUAUCACUGAAGGAGGGGAUUGCGUCUGAUUAGCUAGUUGGAGGGGUAACGGCCCACCAAGGCGAUGAUCAGUAGCCGGUCUGAGAGGAUGAACGGCCACAUUGGGACUGAGACACGGCCCAGACUCCUACGGGAGGCAGCAGUGGGGAAUCUUCCGCAAUGGACGAAAGUCUGACGGAGCAACGCCGCGUGAGUGAUGACGGCCUUCGGGUUGUAAAGCUCUGUUAAUCGGGACGAAUGGUUCUUGUGCGAAUAGUGCGAGGAUUUGACGGUACCGGAAUAGAAAGCCACGGCUAACUACGUG